GACGAACGCUGGCGGCGUGCCUAAUACAUGCAAGUUGAGCGCUGAAGGUUGGUACUUGUACCGACUGGAUGAGCAGCGAACGGGUGAGUAACGCGUGUGGCAUCUGCCUUUGAGCGGGGGACAACAUUUGGAAACGAAUGCUAAUACCGCAUAAAAUCUUUAAACACAAGUUUUAAGUGUGAAAGAUGCAAUUGGAUCACUCAAAGAUGAUCCCGCGUUGUAUUAGCUAGUUGGUGAGGUAAAGGCUCACCAAGGCGAUGAUACAUAGCCGACCUGAGAGGGUGAUCGGCCACAUUGGGACUGAGACACGGCACAAACGCCUACGGAAGGCAGCAGUAGGGAAUCUUCGGCAAUGGACGAAAGUCUGACCGAGCAACGCCGCGUGAGUGAAGAAGGUUUUCGGAUCGUAAAACUCUGUUGGUAGAGAAGAACGUUGGUGAGAGUGGAAAGCUCAGCAAGUGACGGUAACUACCCAGAAAGGAACGGCUAACUACGUG
Molecule: ribosomal RNA, 497 nt
Filed under: uncultured bacterium
Lineage: Bacteria
Description: partial 16S ribosomal RNA
Rfam family: Bacterial small subunit ribosomal RNA
Source: RNAcentral